GAUUUUUAGCGCGGGGCUGUUGUUCACGGGAUGGUGGUGAAGUCGGGACUUGACCACAAUCUUUCAGUGUGUAACGCCUUGGUGGAUCUUUAUGGGAAGUCCCAUGAUGUGGCCGAUGCAGCAAUGGUGUUUGAGGGGAUGGCAGAGCAGGACAGAGACUUGUUCAGCUGGAACUCGAUGCUGUCGGCAUUGCAGUACUCAGCUAACCAUAUGGGGACAAUGAGGCUCUUUCACAGGAUGAGGCAUGCUGCAGUAUGGCCAGAUGCAGUGACUGUUGCGGCUCUCCCUGCAUGUGCGCAGACUGCAGCACUGAAGGUUGGGAGGACGGUUCAUGGGUACAUUAUGACGAGCGGACUGGCUCGCGAUGGUGCAUUGGACGUGCCCGCUUGUAAUGCACUAGUAGACAUGUAUGCCAAGAGCGGUGCGCUGGAUGAGGCAUGCCGUGUAUUUGACUGGAUGCACCGACAGGACGUUGCAUCAUGGAAUAUUAUGAUCAAUGUCUAUGCAUCCCAUGGGCGUGGGCAGGAGGCAAUUGGGUUGUUCCGCCAGAUGACAGAAGUGAAAGGUCUGGUGCCAGAGGAGGUAACUCUGCUGGCAGCAAUGUUGGCGUGCAGCCACUCUGGGUUUGUCGAAGAAGGCAGAAGUUUACUUGAGAGAAUGAAAGAGGAGGUCAGUUUGGAGCCGCUGAUGGAGCACUACUCAUGUGUGACUGACAUGCUUGGGCGAGCAGGGAGGCUGGAUGAAGCGAGAAAGGUAGUAAAUGAGGGUGGCGGCGAAUCCGGGGUGGCCUGCUCGAGGCUUUCAGCCGGAGAUCCUCGGGUCGCUCGCGCGGUCGCUACCCUCUGCCUCUCCCGCACACAUGACUCGUGCCGUCGCUGCACUCUCCGUUCUCUUCCCGUGCUUUUCGAUUGGCCCGAUGGUGAACUGCAGUGCUGCUAA
Molecule: ribosomal RNA, 939 nt
Filed under: Triticum aestivum (bread wheat)
Lineage: Eukaryota; Viridiplantae; Streptophyta; Magnoliopsida; Poales; Poaceae
Description: partial small subunit ribosomal RNA
Source: RNAcentral